ACGGUUAUAAAUCAACAUAUUGAUUUAUAAGCAUGGAAAUCCCCUGAGUGAAACAACGAAUUGCUGUGUGUAGUCUUUGCCCAU
RNAcentral lists this antisense RNA (84 nucleotides) under Escherichia coli. RNAcentral's name for it is "partial antisense sRNA RprA". It matches the Rfam family "RprA RNA", at positions 1 to 84 of the family's 108-position model. From Rfam's summary of the family: Translational regulation of the stationary phase sigma factor RpoS is mediated by the formation of a double-stranded RNA stem-loop structure in the upstream region of the rpoS messenger RNA, occluding the translation initiation site. Clones carrying rprA (RpoS regulator RNA A) increased the translation of RpoS. Lineage: Bacteria; Pseudomonadati; Pseudomonadota; Gammaproteobacteria; Enterobacterales; Enterobacteriaceae. The record is from RNAcentral.